CUCCGACCUCAGAUCAGACGAGAAUACCCGCUGAAUUUAAGCAUAUAAUAAGCGGAGGAAAAG
Molecule: ribosomal RNA, 63 nt
Filed under: Solen grandis (grand razor shell)
Lineage: Eukaryota; Metazoa; Mollusca; Bivalvia; Adapedonta; Solenidae
Description: partial 28S ribosomal RNA
Rfam family: Eukaryotic large subunit ribosomal RNA
Source: RNAcentral